This 433-nucleotide ribosomal RNA is filed under the name uncultured bacterium. Its description in RNAcentral is "partial 16S ribosomal RNA". It matches the Rfam family "Bacterial small subunit ribosomal RNA", at positions 29 to 507 of the family's 1533-position model. The record is from RNAcentral.
AACGAACGCUGGCGGCAGGCCUAACACAUGCAAGUCGAGCGAGGACUUCGGUCCUAGCGGCGGACGGGUGAGUAACGCGUGGGAACGUGCCCUUUGCUUCGGAAUAGCCCUGGGAAACUGGGAGUAAUACCGGAUGAGCCCUUUGGGGGAAAGAUUUAUCGGCGAAGGAUCGGCCCGCGUUGGAUUAGGUAGUUGGUGGGGUAAUGGCCUACCAAGCCGACGAUCCAUAGCUGGUUUGAGAGGAUGAUCAGCCACACUGGGACUGAGACACGGCCCAGUCUCCUACGGGAGGCAGCAGUGGGGAAUCUUAGACAAUGGGGGAAACCCUGAUCUAGCCAUGCCGCGUGAGCGAUGAAGGCCUUAGGGUUGUAAAGCUCUUUCAGCUGGGAAGAUAAUGACGGUACCAGCAGAAGAAGCCCCGGCUAACUCCGUG